AGUGAACGCUGGCGGUAGGCCUAACACAUGCAAGUCGAACGGCAGCACAGUAAGAGCUUGCUCUUACGGGUGGCGAGUGGCGGACGGGUGAGGAAUACAUCGGAAUCUACUUUUUCGUGGGGGAUAACGUAGGGAAACUUACGCUAAUACCGCAUACGACCUACGGGUGAAAGCAGGGGAUCUUCGGACCUUGCGCGAUUGAAUGAGCCGAUGUCGGAUUAGCUAGUUGGCGGGGUAAAGGCCCACCAAGGCGACGAUCCGUAGCUGGUCUGAGAGGAUGAUCAGCCACACUGGAACUGAGACACGGUCCAGACUCCUACGGGAGGCAGCAGUGGGGAAUAUUGGACAAUGGGCGCAAGCCUGAUCCAGCCAUACCGCGUGGGUGGAGAAGGUCUUCGGGUUGUAAAGCCCUUUUGUUGGGAAAGAAAAGCAGCAGGUUAAUACCUCGCUGUUCUGACGGUACCCAAAGAAUAAGCACCGGCUAACUUCGUG
RNAcentral lists this ribosomal RNA (492 nucleotides) under uncultured bacterium. RNAcentral's name for it is "partial 16S ribosomal RNA". It matches the Rfam family "Bacterial small subunit ribosomal RNA", at positions 29 to 507 of the family's 1533-position model. The record is from RNAcentral.